Molecule: non-coding RNA, 26 nt
Filed under: Homo sapiens (human)
Lineage: Eukaryota; Metazoa; Chordata; Mammalia; Primates; Hominidae
Source: RNAcentral
UCCCAACAUCCCUGGAAGCCAGAAGC